UGAAUACGAGAUGCUACGGCGUCGAAGCAGUCUAUGUCAUACUUCCAAGAAAAGCUUGCACUGUCAUAAACAAAUAAUGCCUGUACCAUAACCGACACAGGUGGGUAGGUAGAGUAUACUAAGGGGCGCGAGAUAACUCUCUCUAAGGAACUCGGCAAAAUGACUCCGUAACUUCGGGAGAAGGAGUGCCUUAUUUAUAAGGUUGCAAUAACAAGAUCCAAGCAACUGUUUACCAAAAACACAGGUCUCCGCUAAGUCGUAAGACGAUGUAUGGGGGCUGACGCCUGCCCAGUGCCAGAAGGUUAAAGAAGUUGGUUAGCAUCCGCGAAGCUGAUAACUGAAGCCCUGGUGAACGGCGGCCGUAACGAUAACGGUCCUAAGGUAGCGAAAUUCCUUGUCGGGUAAGUUCCGACCCCACGAAAGGCGUAAUGAUUUGGAUACUGUCUCGGAGAGGGGCUCGGUGAAAUAGACUUGUCUGUGAAGAUGCGGACUACCUGCACCAGGACAGAAAGACCCUAUGAAGCUUUACUGUAACCUGAAAUUGAAAUUGGACUUUACUUGCGCAGUAUAGGUGGGAGGCGUUGAGAAUAUUCUUGCGGGAUUAUUGGAGCCAUCAGUGAGAUACCACUCUUGUAAUGUUAGAUUUCUAACUUUGUAUCAUUAUCUGGUCAAAGAACAGUUUCAGGCGGGCAGUUUGACUGGGGCGGUCGCCUCCUAAACGGUAACGGAGGCGCACAAAGGUUUCCUCUGAACGGGUAGAAAUCGUAUCUAGAGUGUAAAGGCAUAAGGAAGCUUGACUGUGAGACCUACAAGUCGAGCAGGGACGAAAGUCGGUCUUAGUGAUCUGACGGUGCUGAGUGGAAAGGCCGUCACUCAACGGAUAAAAGUUACUCUAGGAUAACAGGCUGAUCUCCCCCAAGAGUUCACAUCGACGGGGAGGUUUGGCACCUCGAUGUCGGCUCAUCGCAUCCUGGGGCGGUAGUACGUCCCAAGGGUUGGGCUGUUCGCCCAUGAAAGCGGUACGCGAGCUGGGUUCAGAACGUCGUGAGACAGUUCGGUCCAUAUCCGGUGUAGGCGUUAGAAUAUUGAGAGGAGCCUUCUUUAGUACGAGAGGACCGAGAAGGACAUACCUCUGGUGUACCAGUUAUCGUGCCAACGGUAAACGCUGGGUAGCUAUGUGUGGAGUGGAUAACCGCUGAAAGCAUCUAAGUGGGAAGCCCACCUCAAGAUAAGUAUUCUCAC
RNAcentral lists this ribosomal RNA (1242 nucleotides) under metagenome. RNAcentral describes it as "bacterial LSU rRNA". It matches the Rfam family "Bacterial large subunit ribosomal RNA", at positions 1564 to 2817 of the family's 2925-position model. The record is from RNAcentral.